CGUGUGGUUUAAUUCGAUGCUACACGAGAACCUUACCAGGGUUGACAUACAAGUAGUAGGGAAGGAAACUGGACCGACCUUCGGGAGCUUGUACAGGUGCUGCAUGGCUGUCGUCAGCUCGUGUCGUGAGAUGUUCGGUUAAGUCCGCUAACGAGCGCAACCCUCGCUGUGUGUUACAAGUGUCACACGGAGCUGCCGGUCAUAAACCGGAGGAAGGUGGGGAUGACGUCAAGUCAGCAUGGCCUUUAUAUCCUGGGCUACACACACGCUACAAUGGUCUGUACAAUAGGUUGCCAAGCCGCGAGGCGGAGCCAAUCCUUAAAGCAGGCCUCAGUUCAGAUUGUAGGCUGCAACUCGCCUGCAUGAAGAUGGAGUUGCUAGUAACCGCAGGUCAGCAAUACUGCGGUGAAUACGUUCCCGGGUCUU
This 426-nucleotide ribosomal RNA is filed under the name uncultured Anaerolineaceae bacterium. Its description in RNAcentral is "bacterial SSU rRNA". It matches the Rfam family "Bacterial small subunit ribosomal RNA", at positions 938 to 1382 of the family's 1533-position model. Lineage: Bacteria; Bacillati; Chloroflexota; Anaerolineae; Anaerolineales; Anaerolineaceae. The record is from RNAcentral.